CCUACGGGUGGCAGCAGUGGGGAAUAUUGCACAAUGGGCGAAAGCCUGAUGCAGCGACGCCGCGUGAGCGAAGAAGGCCUUCGGGUCGUAAAGCUCUGUCCUAAGGGAAGAAAAGGACGGUACCUUAGGAGGAAGCCCCGGCUAACUACGUGCCAGCAGCCGCGGUAAUACGUAGGGGGCGAGCGUUAUUCGGAAUUACUGGGCGUAACGGGUGCGUAGGCGGCCCUGCAAGUAAGGAGUUAAAUCCCUCGGCUCAACCGAGGUCAGCACUUGAAACUGUAGGGCUUGAGUGCAGGAGAGGAGAGCGGAAUUCCUAGUGUGGCGGUGAAAUGUGUAGAUAUUAGGAGGAACACCAGUGGCGAAGGCGGCUCUCUGGAGUGCAACUGACGCUGAGGCACGAAAGCGUGGGCAGCGAACAGGAUUAGAUACGCUUGUAGUG
RNAcentral lists this ribosomal RNA (439 nucleotides) under uncultured bacterium. RNAcentral's name for it is "bacterial SSU rRNA". It matches the Rfam family "Bacterial small subunit ribosomal RNA", at positions 338 to 795 of the family's 1533-position model. The record is from RNAcentral.